GCCUGGGUGGCUCAGUCGGUUAAGUAUCUGACUUUGUCUCAGGUCAUGAUCUCAUGGUUCGUGAGUUCAAGCCCCACAUCAGGCU
Felis catus (domestic cat) is the source of this 85-nucleotide transfer RNA. It matches the Rfam family "tRNA". Rfam says of the family: Transfer RNA (tRNA) molecules are approximately 80 nucleotides in length. Their secondary structure includes four short double-helical elements and three loops (D, anti-codon, and T loops). Lineage: Eukaryota; Metazoa; Chordata; Mammalia; Carnivora; Felidae. The record is from Rfam.